GUUCACUUCUCUUUUCCAGAAACCUGGCUACACUUCCAAACAUCUCAACCGCAAACAAGUCUAAAAGGUAAUUCUCACACCAGGAGUAAACGGAGAAGCUCAAGAGACCAGCCAAGCAGAGGUGAGAUGGUGGGUUAGUUGGUGGGUUCAGAACAUGCAGAGGAAGUCACAGAAAUGGUAGCAAUGAUGAUAGUCAUUUCAUUCGGUUUUAUAAACAUGUAUCAAUAGUGCUCAUCACAAUUCUAGCAACAAAAUCCAAUUCAGAUGUCUUCGGUGCUGAGAUUCCUUACAGACACAGAUCUGCAACUACAGGCUCUUCACUACUCAAACUGAGAACUUAUGCCAACUGUCCAAGCCACCUGGUGAAAUAAUACUGAAACUAAAACAUUCCUGCUCCUGCUAAGACAUGGGUUUCUGAGCUGAAAUUAUCAAUAUUUUCAGGACAAAAUAAUUUCCUAAGAGGUUUAAGUAACUAUUCUUUAAAACAACAAAUAAUAAUUAAUUCACAAUUCUAUUACUACUAGUGUCUAUACACUGUAACUACUCUAUAUGUAUAAAAAUUCUUCUGAUUUAGUACAAACAAAACCAAAACAGCGGCGGGGGGGGGGGAUAUUCCAUCAGCAUGAUCAUGUUUCGGGAGCAGAAAGAAUAUGUAUUUCCUAAUGUCAGUUAUUAGAAAGGCAUUACUGAGUCUUUACAUAGUAUAAACAGUAAUGAUAUGUCACAUUUCUAAUAAAGAAUGUUAGUGACUCACUUCUGAGGAAAUCUUAGGUCACUACUGUGCAAAGCCUUGACAUUAUUUUGUAGCAUAAUAUUUUCAUAUAACUUAGAAAUUUAAAGAGACAAAUUUGAGAAUUUCUUAGAACCACUGAAAUGUCCUGCUUUCAAAUUCACUAAACAAACUUAACACAGAAGCCUUUACAUCUCAAGUAUGUCAAUACAGAAUUUGCUUAUCAAAACAGGUUAGACUUAAAAUGAUGUUUCAGUUAGCAUAUAUUUUUUAAUCAACUAACUGGAAGAACAGUUCAGUAUUAGACUGUAUGCUGAUACUUAACAUGCUUAAGACUCUGGGUUAAGUCCCCAGCAUAAAAACAAAGGUAUUGAAAAUUUAUAAUGCUGGCACUCAAUACACAGUAUAAGAGCCUUAUUCAAAAUUUUCAAGUACUCUUUUGGCAAAUGGUGCAUAUAAAGGGUCUACAUUUGAGCACACUUUAUAUAAAACCCUUCAAGGGCAUUCCAUUGGCCCCAAAGAGCUGAAACCCAAAAGAACUAAGACUUCAAAUGAUAAAGGCUAAGACAGAAGGAGUGUGAUACACAUCAAGGGCUGCUUCGAGGUCCUCUCCAAGGGUAACCACAUCUCCUGUCUCAAGUACAUUCUCAAGUGGAGGGAGAGAGCAAGGCAGCCAAGCCCUGCCCAGAAUGCUGGAUGGAGCUCACUGUCAUUACUCAGUGAGUCCUAGUGAGGCACAAGCUUCUCUGGAAACGAGACCAUCAGCCACAUGGCAUGUGGGGCCUCCAUGAACGAAUGGAGACUGCCCAUUGGAGGGAACUGUCUCUAGAAGCCUGCUAACCCUACUGCUGAACACCAUUAAGAAGAGAACAUAAAUCAGAUGCUAGCCCCAAAUAGGAAGCAUUUGAGGUACUUUCCUGAGGAAAGACAGCAGCAGCACCUCUGACGCCCAUGAAGAGGCGUCAUCCUGAGAGGCGGGGAUGCUGACUAGAACUGAGAGAGCUUUUUUUUUUUUUUUACAACAAUAUAGCAUGGAGCGGGAAACUAUGUGCCUCAGAUAAUACCAAGCUUAUUAAAUUUCAGGUAUAGUCACAGUAAUUUCUACUUAGGUCCCAUCUUCCUUCCCUAAGAAAAUGCUUCCCCUGUUUAAAAGGGUUUCAAAAAUAAAUCUUAAAGGCAACAGUCUUACAACCUGCAAUCUGCUGUGAUACACGCUCACCCCAUCUAUUUCCAAGCAGGGUUACUUUUCACACGCACUCUAGGACCCCAGGUACAAAGGGAGAACUGCUAACCCUUCUGUGGGGCUCAAGAAUAAGGGCCAUGGCGGGACAAUCUGACUGGAAAGGGAGUAGACCUGAGGUUCUGGAGAAAUCUGUAUACAUGUGUGGCUUGAUACCCACCAUACCCACCUGUUCAGUGGUUUCAGUCUCUAUUUCACUGACACAAGAAAUACCCAGGAGUCAGACGGAGGGACAAGUGCAUCCCGGUAUUUACUAGGUUGUACAUGAUAAGAAACUUGGAAAGGACAGUAAGAUAUAGAGAAAUAAAAUAUAUUUGGGUGAGAGGUUAAUUAGCCACAUAAUACAAUUUCUCUCUCUCAUUCAUUCCAGCUUAUCUGCUAAUUCUUACUUGCCAAAAUGUUAAGCACUUUCUUCAAAUUAAAAAGAAAAAAAGGUAAAAAUCAGUAAAUACUGUUACUGCUAAAAUCCUACCCACCUUCCUUUCUACACACCCAGUCCACUACACAAGCCAAUGUAUAGUGGUAACCCUGUUUUCUAAAGCAUUCAGUCUCUUUAACGCUAGAGUUGUUAAUAUUGGCAAUUUUACUACGGUGAUAUAUAGAACUACUCUUUGUUUUCUUUAACAAAUACUAUAUAUUUCUUACCCCAUUAUGAAAUACAGUAGACAAAAAACAAUCACUGACCUGUUAUAAAAUUUAGCUCAUUUGUUGUGAUACCUUUAAAUGUAACAAAAAUUUGCAUUUUUUUACCCUUCAAUGAAAGUUCUUCCUAGUAUAUUUUAAAAUUAAGUUUGAACAUUUGUCUUCAACAAUGCAAUAGGAAAUCAAUUACAAACAUGCUCCUGCCAGAGGUCUUCCAUCUAAUACCAAAAUGGAUGUAGGAAGUGUAGUACUAAGAGGGAAGUUGCUGGCUUGUGUGUGUGUAUUCAAGGUCAUCUCUAACUAUACAGAAAAAAAAAAAAAUCAAGGCUAGCCUGGGUAAUAGAGAACAAGAAAAUAAGAACAAGAACUAAGACAAGGAGAAGAGGGAGGAGAAGAGGGAGGGGAAGAGGGAGGGAGAAAAAGGGAGUGGAAAGGAAGGAAAACAAAGAAUAGAAGAGGAAGGCAGGAAGGAAAGAGAGCCCAAAGUUAGGCACAAGGAUUAGAACAGAAGCAAAAGUAACAAUAAGUAGGAUGGACUAAGAGCUGGCUUCUUGAAAAGAUAAAAUUGAGACCCCUUUAUUAGACUAACAGAAAAAAAG
Molecule: long non-coding RNA, 3211 nt
Filed under: Mus pahari (shrew mouse)
Lineage: Eukaryota; Metazoa; Chordata; Mammalia; Rodentia; Muridae
Description: predicted gene, 19667 (MGP_PahariEiJ_G0002322.1)
Source: RNAcentral